This 254-nucleotide ribosomal RNA is filed under the name uncultured bacterium. RNAcentral describes it as "partial 16S ribosomal RNA". It matches the Rfam family "Bacterial small subunit ribosomal RNA", at positions 524 to 776 of the family's 1533-position model. The record is from RNAcentral.
UACGGAGGGGGCAAGCGUUGUUCGGAUUUACUGGGCGUAAAGGGUGUGUAGGCGGUUGCGUAAGUCUGGUGUGAAAUCUUCACCGCUUAACGGGAAGAGGUCACUGGAAACUGCGUAACUCGAGUAUGGUAGAGGCAAGCGGAAUUCCUGGUGUAGCGGUGGAAUGUGUAGAUAUCUGGAGGAACACCGGUGGCGAAGGCGACAUCCUGGACCGGUAUUGACGCUGAGGCGCGAAAGCCAGGGGAGCAAACGGG